RNAcentral lists this ribosomal RNA (858 nucleotides) under uncultured bacterium NoosaAW01. RNAcentral's name for it is "bacterial SSU rRNA". It matches the Rfam family "Bacterial small subunit ribosomal RNA", at positions 597 to 1482 of the family's 1533-position model. Lineage: Bacteria; Candidatus Saccharimonadota. The record is from RNAcentral.
AAACCUGGUGGCUCAACCAUACAGACUAUUAUUCAAACUGGCUAACUCGAGAGUAGCAGAGGUACCUGGAAUUUCUGAAGUAGGGGUAAUAUCCGUAGAUAUCAGAAGGAACACCAAUGGCGUARGCAGGGUACUGGGCUAUUUCUGACGCUAAGGCACGAAAGCGUGGGGAGCGAACCGGAUUAGAUACCCGGGUAGUCCACGCCGUAAACGAUGGAUACUAGCUGUAGGGGGUAUCGACCCCCUCUGUAGCGAAGCUAACGCGUUAAGUAUCCCGCCUGUGGAGUACGGUCGCAAGACUAAAACAUAAAGGAAUUGACGGGGACCCGCACAAGCGGUGGAUCAUGUUCUUUAAUUCGAUGCUAAACGAAGAACCUUACCAGGGUUUGACAUCCCGAGAAUUUUGCCGAAAGGCGAGAGUGCUUAUUGACUCGGUGACAGAUGAUGCAUGGCCGUCGUCAGCUCGUGUCGUGAGAUGUUUGGUUAAGUCCAUCAACGAGCGCAACCCUUGUGAUUAGUUGUAUUUUUCUAAUCAGACUGCCCCGGUAACGGGGAGGAAGGAGGGGAUGAUGUCAGGUCAGUAUUUCUCUUACAUCCUGGGCUAGAAACGUGAUACAAUGGCCGAUACAAUGCGCAUACGCCAACCCGCGAGGGGGAGCAAAUCGCAUCAAAGUCGGUCCCAGUUCGGAUAAGAGGCUGAAACUCGCCUCUUUGAAGUCGGAAUCGCUAGUAAUCGCAGGUCAGCAAACUGCGGUGAAUACGUUCCCGGGUCUUGUACACACCGCCCGUCAAACCAUGAAAGUGACCAACACCCGAAGUCCGAUUCGUCGGCCUAAGGUGGGGGGCAUGAUUGGGGUU